GCCGUGCCCAGGAAGCGGGAGCAGGAAGCUGUGGGGCCGCGGGGAUGGUGGGCAGCGGCCCGGCGGUAUGGAAUGGCAGAACUGGUAGAAGCAGGAUACGAUGUUCGCCAACCAGACAAAGAAAAUGUGACUCUUCUUCAGUGGGCAGCAACAAACAGCAGACAGGAGGAGCUGGUGAAAUAUUACAUUUCCAAAGGUGCGUAGUGGAUCAGCUUGGUGGAGAUUUGAAUUCUGCGCCCCUGCACUGGGCCAUUAGGUAAUGCUGCUUGCAACCACUAGUUGCAAAUCUCUCGGUAUUGACAGCUGUGGUAGCGUUUUCUGAGAUCCGCAGAACAAAGCACUGCUUGGCUGGAGAAAACAUAUGCUGAAAUAAUUCUUCUGGGAAAACUUGUCCGAGUGCAAAUUCUCCCAUUGGAAGAUCAGUGUUUUCUUCUGGAUGGUCAGUCUUUUGCCAGAGUCAGAGACUUGGAUGACUGCUCAGAGGAGAAACUACUGUAGAAUAACCUCUGUAUUCUAAAUGAACACUUUGCCCUAGGCUCAUUCAUUAAGGUAUAUAUUUAAUAUAAUUUGCUGAAAAAGCCAUGAGAAUCUGAGAGAAAACUGGUUUUUGUGUGGUCUCUAUGAGAACUAUAAGGGCAAUGCUUUCAAUAAAAUAUCAGGUUUUUAAAUCAUCUCUAUAGUUUCACUUCACACCUCGUUAUAGACAAGGACACCUUCCCAGGGGACAGCAGCAUCCAAAGGAGCUGUGCAGGGAUGUGCAGAUGCCAAAAGGGACUCUAGGGCAGUUGGACACGCUCCAGCGGGCUCAGCCCCCCGUGCUGGGGCAGGGAAAGAGCAUG
RNAcentral lists this long non-coding RNA (839 nucleotides) under Corvus moneduloides (New Caledonian crow). RNAcentral describes it as "lncRNA (ENSCMUG00000019405.1)". Lineage: Eukaryota; Metazoa; Chordata; Aves; Passeriformes; Corvidae. The record is from RNAcentral.